Molecule: long non-coding RNA, 1468 nt
Filed under: Zonotrichia albicollis (white-throated sparrow)
Lineage: Eukaryota; Metazoa; Chordata; Aves; Passeriformes; Passerellidae
Description: lncRNA (ENSZALG00000009304.1)
Source: RNAcentral
UCCCCGUUUUUUCCUGUUUUUUCUCCAAUUUCCCUAUUUUUUCCUCGGCGUUCCCCAUUUUCCCCCUUUUUUCACUUGUCUUCUCCUUUCCCUCCCCCCUUUUUUCCCGUUUCCCCUGAUGUUCCCAGGUUUUUUCCCAGUUUUUUUCCCGGUUUUUCGGACGAGCGGUGGCAUUUUGGGAGCAGCGCGAGGACGGAACCUCCCCCCGCCCUCGAUCCCAGAAAUCCUCUGGAAGCCCCGGGAAAAAAAAAAUCGGGAAUUUCGGGACGGAGAAGCCGCGAGCCGGCCCCGAAUCGGCCCCAGAUCCCGGGAUUUUUUCCCGGGGGCAGCCGCGGCUGGGAAAAAAAUCGGAAAUUUCGGGUUGGAAAAGCCGCGAUUCUACCCCAAAUUCGGGAGGUUUUUUUCGCGGGAAUGACGCGAGGAGCUGCGGAAUGAGAGGGGAAGGAUCCCGGGAGUGGAAUCCCCCAAUUCCCAAACCCCCGGGAUCCAGGAAAUGUAGGAAAUCCAGGCACCGACCUGAGCAGGGAGCAGCGCCGGCGGAAAAUCGGGAAUUUUUCCAGGUGACCAAAGGGCAGCGGGGCGGGCCCGGGGCGGGGCCGGGAGCGAUCCCGAUGGGAAUUCCGGGAUCCAGGGAAGAGCUCUGGAAAGGCCAGGAGGGGUCAGGAUCACCGGGAAGGGCUGGGAUCCAUCACAGAUCCCAGGAUCCACCUCAGAUCCCGGGAUCCAUCCCAAAUCCCCGGAUCCAUCCCAAAUCCCCGGAUCCAUCCCAAAUUCCCAGAUCCAUCCCAAAUCCCCGAAUCCAUUGCAAACCUUUGGAACCAUCCCAAAUUCCCGAAUCCAUCCCCAACCCUUGGAUCCAUCCCAGCUCCAUCCUGGAGCAGGUGGAGAAUCCAUGGGGGGGGAGGGGGUUGGGAAUGUUCCCAGAUGGCUCCAGAAAAACCGGGAACGGGGGAGGGUCAGAAAACUGGGAGAGGAUUUGGAUUUUCCAGAAAUUCGGGAGAGGAUCGGAUAUUCCCGAAAUGAGGAAAUUGGGGCAGGAAUUGCUCCUUUGCUCUCCCAGGAUUUCCAGGAUUUCACUGGAAAACUGAAAGGAAAGAAAACAGGAAAAUGGAAUUUUGGGCCUGAAAAAAUGGGGGAAAAGCAGGAAAAUGCAAAUUUUGGGGCUGAGAAAAACCAGAAUUUUGGGGAUUUCCCUGGAAAAACAGAGGGAAAAAAAAAGCAGAAAAGGGAAUUUAGGGCCUAAAAAACCCCAAAAAUGGGAGUUUUCCCUGGGAAUGGAGUCAGGAAAAAUCAGGAGGGGCAAUCCCGGCCCCUUUGGAAGGGCGGAAUUUUGGGAAUUUUCUGGCUGGCCGGGAUCCAGGGAAGCACAAAGAGCCUUUGUGGCUCCGACCCAGAAAAAGCCGUUUUGUAAUUCCCAGAGUGGCCGGAAAAUCUGGGGGAAAAAAAUAAAACUGGAGUUCCUUUUCCA